Molecule: long non-coding RNA, 745 nt
Organism: Homo sapiens (human)
Lineage: Eukaryota; Metazoa; Chordata; Mammalia; Primates; Hominidae
Gene: ZNF346-IT1
Product: ZNF346 intronic transcript 1
Source: Ensembl
UUUUUAGUAGAGACAAGGUUUCACCAUGUUGGGCAGGAUGGUCUCGAUUUCCUGACCUCGUGAUCCGUCCGCCUCGGCCUCCCAAAGUGCUGAGAUUACAGGCGUGAGCCACUGCACCCGGCCCCUCUGAUUUUUAAAUGUGUAACUAAAUUAAAAAAUUUUUAAGCCCAGCCAGGUUGGUCUCGAACUCCUGACCUCAAGUGAUCCACCCGCCAUGACCUCCCAAAGUGGUGGGAUUAGAGGCAUUAGCCACCAAGCCCAGCCAAAAAAAAAAAAAACUAUUUUUAAACCCUGUGUAAGUCAGACCUGUCUGCAAGCCAGAUUUGGGCCAAGGACCCUUAGCGGAUUAGAUCAGAAUCUCAUGUUCUGAUAGUUCUUACUUUGUACCUCCACAAAGGUGAACCCCUGAGAGAGAAAAGGUUGCUUCCUAUCAGCAGAAUUUAGACCCCUACAUUAAAGUUUUGCCUCCCCCAUUCUUUGGUUGUGGUUAUGUUAAGGAGAUACUGGUACUAAGAAAAACUACUAAAACUACACGUACACAUGGUCCCCAACUUCCUAUGGUUCAGCUUUAUGAUUUUUUUCAACUUUACGAUGGUGUGAAAGCAAUAGAUGUUGAGUAGAAACUGUACUUCUCUUGCACUGCUAGGCAGCAAUUGGUAAUAAGUUUAUCUAGAUGUAACCCCAUUGUAAGUCAAGGAACAUCUGUAGAGUGAGAGAAAGCAUGGAAAUCUUCUGCUGACUUGCA